Molecule: ribosomal RNA, 501 nt
Filed under: uncultured bacterium
Lineage: Bacteria
Description: partial 16S ribosomal RNA
Rfam family: Bacterial small subunit ribosomal RNA
Source: RNAcentral
AUUGAACGAUGGCGGCAGGCUUAACACAUGCAAGUCGAGCGGGGGAAGGUAGCUUGCUACCGGACCUAGCGGCGGACGGGUGAGUAAUGCUUAGGAAUCUGCCUAUUAGUGGGGGACAACAUCUCGAAAGGGAUGCUAAUACCGCAUACGUCCUACGGGAGAAAGCAGGGGAUCUUCGGACCUUGCGCUAAUAGAUGAGUCUAAGUCGGAUUAGCUAGUUGGUGGGGUAAAGGCCUACCAAGGCGACGAUCUGUAGCGGGUCUUAGAGGAUGAUCCGCCACACUGGGACUGAGACACGGCCCAGACGCCUACGGGAGGCAGCAGUGGGGAAUAUUGGACAAUGGGGGGAACCCUGAUCCAGCCAUGCCGCGUGUGUGAAGAAGGCCUUAUGGUUGUAAAGCACUUUAAGCGAGGAGGAGGCUACUUUAGUUAAUACCUAGAGAUAGUGGACGUUACUCGCAGAAUAGGCACCGGCUAACUCUGUGCCAGCAGCCGCGGUAA